CAGUCGCCACGGGAAUACGUAGGGUGCAAGCGUUAAUCGGAAUUACUGGGCGUAAAGCGUGCGCAGGCGGUUUUGUAAGACAGAGGUGAAAUCCCCGGGCUCAACCUGGGAACUGCCUUUGUGACUGCAAGGCUAGAGUACGGCAGAGGGGGAUGGAAUUCCGCGUGUAGCAGUGAAAUGCGUAGAUAUGCGGAGGAACACCGAUGGCUAAGGCAAUCCCCUGGGCCUGUACUGACGCUCAUGCACGAAAGCGUGGGGAGCAAACAGGAUUAGAUACCCCAGUAGUCCCUGUCUCUUAUAC
Molecule: ribosomal RNA, 301 nt
Filed under: uncultured bacterium
Lineage: Bacteria
Description: partial 16S ribosomal RNA
Rfam family: Bacterial small subunit ribosomal RNA
Source: RNAcentral